Molecule: non-coding RNA, 192 nt
Filed under: Mesobacillus zeae
Lineage: Bacteria; Bacillati; Bacillota; Bacilli; Caryophanales; Bacillaceae
Description: 6S / SsrS RNA
Rfam family: 6S / SsrS RNA
About the family: E. coli 6S RNA was the first non coding RNA to be sequenced, but its function was unknown until recently.
Source: Rfam by way of RNAcentral
AAAGUCCUGAUGUGUUCGUUAUCCGCCCUGAAGUUUUGACCGAACAUAUCUACUUCGGGAGCCCGGGGUUUCCAGACUGCGCAAAUGCCUCUCUUAUGUGGACUUGCAAUGCCUGGGACAGUGCACCCACCUGCUUUGCAUAGAGCGGGUUCAAAACGAAGGAUUAAAGUUAACGGCACGCUUGGGACUUUU